This 113-nucleotide ribosomal RNA is filed under the name Microcebus murinus (gray mouse lemur). Lineage: Eukaryota; Metazoa; Chordata; Mammalia; Primates; Cheirogaleidae. The record is from RNAcentral.
GUCUAUGGCUAUACCACCCUGAACAUGCCCGAUCUCGUCUGACCUUGGAAGCUAAGCAGGGUCAGGCCUGGGUAGCGCUUGGAUGGGAGAAUGGAGAGUCCUCUGUGUAGGAA